RNAcentral lists this small RNA (29 nucleotides) under Bombyx mori (domestic silkworm). RNAcentral describes it as "ovarian small RNA-36809". Lineage: Eukaryota; Metazoa; Arthropoda; Insecta; Lepidoptera; Bombycidae. The record is from RNAcentral.
UUAUAUUGAUAUGCCAUUGUAUCGGUUGC